Molecule: long non-coding RNA, 1816 nt
Filed under: Homo sapiens (human)
Lineage: Eukaryota; Metazoa; Chordata; Mammalia; Primates; Hominidae
Description: non-protein coding lnc-C16orf87-2:1
Source: RNAcentral
GUCGCGUCUGCGAAGCUAGAGCUGUUGGCAGCCUGUCCCCAGUGGCGCGUCCGCCCCCCUACCGCCCUCACUGCCCGCACCUGCGAGGACGCAGGCUGCUGGAUGGUGCAGUCAUCGCCCCGAGUUUCAUCAUCCAAGGCCACACGGUGCCUGCGGCUGCCCACCAGAGCUGGCAGGAAGGCGGGUGAGGAGUCUGGGACUUGGCCACGCCGCCCUGACUACCGAACGCCAGCUUCCUUCUCAGCAAAACGGGGAUCUGCCCACGGCCUCUGAGGGUUGUUGUGAGACUUCAAGGACCAUCUGCCAAGUGGUCAGGUUUUCCCGACCACUCCAUCUGACCUCAGACCUCCAUCACUUCCGUUUUAUUUUCUGCCUACCAUCUGAAAUUAUCUUCGGUUACUUUUUACUGGCUUAUGGUUUACCUCCCCCGACUAACCGUGCGAGCUCCAGAGGGGCAGAGGCAGUGUCUUUCUUGUUCAUGGCAUUCGCAGCACCUCUAACAGUUCCCGCCACAGAGGAGCCACUCAGUAAAUAUUUGUUGAAGAAUGAAUGCCCAGCACAAGGGGGCUAUUAUGUUUGGUAACGGUGUCUGCUGGCGAAAGGCUCCCUGGCUUGCCCAGAGCAAGAGCAGGGCAAGACUAGGAGGUGGCGUAGGGUGGCGCAAAGGGAGUUCUGGAAGACUCGGGGUCUAAUGGAGACACCAAAAUCUACAAAAUCAAAAAUACAAAUACAGAAUCUACAAAAUCCCGUCUAGGUCCCAGAUUCUCCAUGUGCAAAAUGAGUUAAAUACCCUCUAAGGUCCUUCCCCUUGGAAAUUCUGUGAGUCUGGGUGUUUUCAACCAGAAAAACAGCCCAGAGCUCCCACAUCCCAACACACACACACUCACAUUAGGUUUAUGAAAGUUGGGGCAGCAGUGUAGGGGAGAAGGUAGACCUGAGUCGGAAUAUCCACAGUUGCAUACAGCCGUGCACUGCUUAACUGAGUUUGUACUACCUCGUCUUCGUAAAGCCUAGUUUCCCCAUGCGUAAAGUCAGGGUAACACCUACCUCAUACUGUGAUUAAAUACAUUGGUUGCCAAUAAAAGAGGAAAGUAGGUGGGGAGAACAACAGAAACCGAAGAUAUCUUUGAGUAUUCCUAUGUCUGCAAACUGGCUUGGUCCACCAAAGGCGCUGGAAAGUUAUUUGGGCUCUCAUGUACUGGUUCCACCCCCGCACCUUUGUCUACACUAGGUCUUGAUGGCCAGGUAUUCAGUCUCUAGGUAAAAGUCUUCCCCAGUGAGCUUAGCUCCUCCUUCAGUGUCGUCGUUAUCAACUGCCCAGUUGAGACACAAACAUAACCCUCCACCUCCAAAACACGCUUGACCUUGACUUGCAUGUAAUGUCCAUGCAGUCCCUUGCUGUCCACCCACGUGUCAGUGUACUAUGCUCUUCUGUUAUCUCUGUCUCUGAUCAGUAGGGACAGGGGAGGAGGGGCUUAGAGAGGUGAUCACAAAUCUAUUUCCACAACUGAGAACAACAAGCACACAGCCUUCUUAUGUGUGCUCCCACGUCAUCACUGUGAAAAACAAGUCGAGUGCCUAAUAUGCCCUCUGCCAACCCGUCUCUCUGAGAUUGCAUGAGGAAAAAAGCUUCAUUGAUUUCUUGUGAACCACUGUACAAUUUGCAAAGCACUUUCUUACCCAAAAGCACAGGCAGUAUUAUUCCCACUUUAUAGAUGAGGCUCAGAGAGGUUAGGUGACUUGUUCAGGUGGUACAGCUAAAAGGAGAGCAGGAAUUGUGAUUUCUAACCCAGUGCUACAGCCCACGCAUGCAGGG